RNAcentral lists this ribosomal RNA (364 nucleotides) under uncultured organism. RNAcentral describes it as "bacterial SSU rRNA". It matches the Rfam family "Bacterial small subunit ribosomal RNA", at positions 526 to 896 of the family's 1533-position model. The record is from RNAcentral.
CGGAGGAUCCAAGCGUUAUCCGGAAUCAUUGGGUUUAAAGGGUCCGUAGGCGGGUUUAUAAGUCAGUGGUGAAAGCCCAUCGCUCAACGAUGGAACGGCCAUUGAUACUGUAGAUCUUGAAUUAUUAGGAAGUAACUAGAAGAUGUAGUGUAGCGGUGAAAUGCUUAGAGAUUACAUGGAAUACCAAUUGCGAAGGCAGGUUACUACUAAUGGAUUGACGCUGAUGGACGAAAGCGUGGGUAGCGAACAGGAUUAGAUACCCUGGUAGUCCACGCCGUAAACGAUGGAUACUAGCUGUUCGGAGCAAUCUGAGUGGCUAAGCGAAAGUGAUAAGUAUCCCACUGGGGAUACGUUCGCAAGAAUG